UUAAUCUCCAGUGGCAAACAAAAGAAGUGCCUGAUUUUUUUACCUUAAAUAGGACUAUUGACAAAUAUUCUGUUCAUGUCAGUGUCGUGGACUUUCUGGAUCUGGAAGUCCUCACCUCCCAACCUUUUCUUCUCAGGAAUACUUGAGAGACAAAAGCCUGCUGAGAUCUCCAAAGGACCCUUGGCACCUGGAGGGCAAAGAAGGAGAAAAGUGCAGUUUUUCUUCUAUUGCUGCUCUAAAGAUCUUCACCAGGUGCUUCUUGCGGCAAUCCAAGCUACUUUAAUGCAGUUACAGAGCAUAAUGGUACUGUAGAAACCAGGGCAACAAAUGCUGAAUGUUUAAAGAGCUGCUUUGCAUAAUGGAGAUUGGCACCAAAAGGAAGCCUGAUGAAAUGGUUCCAAGCUGACUGAUGCCUUAUGUGAUGGCAGCUGACAAAGUUUACCUGUCACUGAAGGAGAGAUGUCAAAAUAAUCCAGCAAGAAGAGACUGAAAUCCUAGAAUAAGCUACCUACCUGCUGGACAAAAUACUGAACAAAAAGACAAUUUCCAUCUUGAAGGCUGGAUGGUCCUGCUGUAAAACAGAAGAUAAUAGUUAGAGGAAAGAAGAAACAAGAACUGGCACCGCUGGUCAGCAAAUGAAGCUGUAAAGUUAAUGGCAGACAUCCCAGAAAAAGAAACGGGUUAAGAAAUUUUUUUGAAGAUGCUUAUAGGGAAAUUCUGUCCAUGCUAGUUUAACACAGAAGUCAGCAUUUAUAUUUAUGUGAGAAAAUUUAAGCAGUUGAUAUGGGAGGCUGGCAUUGUGGAGAUGAGGCAAGUUAAUGUGAUCUCAUCUGUGAGUGUGAGAUAAUCCUGUGUGUGGGAAAGGACUGGCUGCAAAUAGACUUGACUCAGAAGACUAAGUUCCUAAAGUAUGAUGUGAUAGAAAGGGGAAGUAUGUGGUGCCUCCAAGGAGAGGGUUUAUACAAAGAUAUGCUCUUUUGCUAUGACUAAUAGACAGAAAUUAUUACUAAGUAAUAUUUUAUGCAAAGGUAAAAUGCUAUGUGACUUGUAAUCUGAGGCAUCUCAUUCUGGUGUGCAUUCUGUAGGAGGCUGAGCAGCUGAUUAAGACUAGAGACUGUUACAGGCUCCUAUGGUUUUUGAAAUCUUCCUGUAUGUUUGGAUUUCCAAUUGCUUGGGGGGGGGGAAAUGUUGCUUCAUGAAAUGCCAGGUCUUUGUGCAUGUGAUUUAGAGUACUGCAAGCAUUGCAAAUUAAAACAUAAAUUGCAUCUCACCAUGACAGUCUUUUCUUAUUUCUUUCUGUUGUUUAUCCUAAAAUACAAGCUCACAAGCACUAAUAAAUAAAACACA
Pseudopipra pipra is the source of this 1347-nucleotide long non-coding RNA. RefSeq lists it as uncharacterized. The transcript is spliced from 4 exons. The record is from RefSeq and is a predicted model, not a curated record. NCBI's taxonomy places the organism in Eukaryota, Metazoa, Chordata, Aves, Passeriformes, Pipridae.